RNAcentral lists this unclassified non-coding RNA (231 nucleotides) under Hevea brasiliensis (rubber tree). The record is from RNAcentral. Lineage: Eukaryota; Viridiplantae; Streptophyta; Magnoliopsida; Malpighiales; Euphorbiaceae.
GCUUUUACCACUCAAGAUGUAUAUGUUUCAAAAGAAAUUAUACCAUACCCUUCUGGGUACCACGCUAGCUGAAACAACCAACAAGAAGCCAUUUGAAUCCCCUCAAAAGUUGGAUCAAACAAGAACUCAAAAGCACAAAUCAAUAACAUGGUAUAUAAAUCACUAAGAAUUUUGAGCAGAGUAAAAUGGGAACCGCGCCAUUUACAGAAUUCAAAUUCAACAAAAACCCAG